ACCUGAACCUGGCACUGAUGUCGCUCUUCAAGCAACCUUUAGACUUAUCCUAAAAGGCGCUGUUAGUAAAACUGUGAUGCUAGAACCAAUUGAUCUUCCUGGAAUGAUUGUAAGUCACCAAGAACCAGACCAACCUCUUAUUGUUGUAGAUUCCUCCCUUGGCGGGCCUUCUUCAGUUUUUCUUGUGGUACCAGGCUUGGAUGGACGAAAUCAAACAAUAUCUUUACAAUCACAAAGCAAUAAAGAUUGUUACGUGUAUAGCGAUAUGAGCUCUGGUUCAGGAGUUAAGCUAAGGUGCAAGUCUGAUUCUGAAGCUAGUUUUAACCAAGCAGCAAGUUUCGUUUCCGGGAAAGGAUUAAGGCAAUACCAUCCUAUCAGCUUUGUGGCUAAAGGAGGAAACCAGAAUUUUCUUUUAGAGCCAUUGUUCAACUUUAGGGAUGAACACUAUACAGUUUAUUUCAACAUUCAAGGUUGAUACAAUAUAUGUUUAUUUCAACAUUCUAUUGAUUUGAAAUAAACAAUAUAUGUAAGUUUCACCUACAAAGUUCAAAUAAUCAAAAUUUAAUUUUAUAAAAAAAUGAAAUUUAAUUGUAGAAAGAUUAGUCGUUGAAUUUCUUCUACUAAGUGUUCUAAUCAACUUUAGGGUGGCAAAAUGAAAUGAUUGGAUAGUUUUGAGUUUUGAUUGUAAUGGACCGAUCAAAACUAUUCAUUUACAAUCCAAUAUAAAUUCUUAAAAAAUUUAAAUCCAAAUCCUAUCAUAUUUUCAAUGGAUGAAUAUUCAUCCAAAUCCAUGAAUCUAUAUAUUUUUUUAUAUUGGAAAAAAAAUUACAAUUUAUUUAAUUAUUUACUUAUUUAUUAAUAAUUGGAAGUGGUGGUAACCAGAGAGCUGCUGGCGGCCGACGCGGUUGUGGUCAGCAGUUGGCAUGGUGGUGAUCGCUAUCCUAUGUCUGGACUCUGGUGGUAGCAGGAGAUAUGCUAUUUUUCAAUUUUGUUUAAUAAAAAUACUUAAUUUUAAAAAUAAUUAUAAAUUUUAUUAUUUAUAUAAAAAAAAUUGGUACAACAUAUAGAGAUUAUUUAUUCCUAAAAAAAAGUUUUAUAACUAAAAAGGGUUUUUUUUUUUUUUUUUUUGAAAGAAAAAGGGUUAUUUCAUUAGUAUAUAUACCUUGAAUGAAGAUAGAAAAUGAAAGAAAAUCUAGAAAACAUAAUAAAAUUAAACAAAAUUGGAAUAGAAAGAAAACAUAAGAUGGAACAAGAUGUGAAUUGGGAUUUGGGAAGAACAUAUAAGAUUGCCACAUUAUUUGAAGAAUAUUAAAUAAGAUCAAAUGUAGAUCCAUCACAAGAAUAAAGUUGUUCUUGAAAAGGAUAAAGAAUUAGUUCAUCUAAGAACCUAGGGAGUAAAACUAACUCUUAUAUGUCAAAACUCAUGCAUAGUGCAUUAAUUCUCCAUAUAAAGAGGUAACAAAAUUACUAUUUAUAGCAACACCUAUAAAGGACACGACCGAUUGUACUAUAAGCCUAAUUAAGAAAAUGAAGGCUCGUGGUCAGUGGUCACACACUAUAAAAAUAAAGAGCGUUAUAGAACUCCAUAAGAAAAUAAUCUAAAUGUUUACCUAAAUAUUAUUACAAUUAAAAUUUCCUUGACGAAAUAUUAACACAUUGGUCCUCGUUAUAAUACUAACAUAGCGGAAAAAGCAACUAAGAGGUUAAAGAGGACAAUUUGCAUUUUAGGAUCUCGGUCCAAGCCAUUAACGAACAUCAAUACUAAUAGAUAAUGAAAACACAAUCAUCUUUUAAAGGUUCGGAGACAAACGGAUAAAGAUUUUGAAAUACAACCAAGAUAGUGCACAAUGAACAAAUCCUCAAAAGCUUGUUGCAUUUAAAUUACACCUAGCCAAAAAAGACAAAAAAUGCCCUCCACCUCAAUUUUGAAACCACCCACAAAUCUUAGCUAGAUAAUAUCCACACAAUCCCAAAGCAAAUAAUACCAUAGCACAAUACCAUCCAAAUUGUUGCAAACCUAACACACUGCUAUGAUAAGACACAACCGAGACAAAUAAAAUCUGAGCUGAAUUAGAUGGUAUGAAUUAAGUCACCUGUGCACUUUAAAAUCACCAGAACAAUCUGAAUUUUCAAACCGUAAUAUCGUCAAGGAAAACCCGCGGAUUCAAACACCACUGCACAAUGUUGUAAUUAUUGAUAUUUAAUUUAAUACGCAACCAGUUCCAAGAAUAAACUUUCAUCUCCUCGUGCAUUUUUUUUUUGUGCCUUUAUUUGUUGGGAAAUAGUUUCUUGUUUCUUGUCUUUCAAAUGUUCCACACACAUGUGAACCAAACUACAUUGACACGCUUUGAGAAUGCUCUUCUUCUACCUAGUAGACCUUCCUUCCUUUUGAAAAGCCGAAGAGAUCCCAAAUCACGAACAUAUAUUGUACCAUAAACCUAGAAAAACAAUACACUAAAAAAAUAGACGACAUACCGAUUCUUCAAACCCACACUCUCCAACACAUUGUAAAGAUCCCUGGCCAAUUGCACCUCUUUUGAAAAGAUUAUGUUUUGUAGCAACUUUAUUUUGAAACAAUCUCCACACCAAACAUGAGACUUUUUGAUGUGAUGGAUUUGUGCCACACCUUUGCCCAUAAAUGAUUAGAAAAAUUUCGAAUUUCAAACAUAAGCACCCUACAAGCCUUUUUUACCGAGUAUGAAUUUGAUGACUCCGUACCACCUAUAUCUAACUGAAAGAUAUCCUUCCACCAAGUGGAACUUCCUCUACCCCAUACAGUAAUAGAUUCAUCCCUUAUUCCAUACUUAUUUACCAAGAUUCUAUACAACAUACCACUUCUUUCAUUACUAAUUUUCCACCACCAUUUUCUUAAAAGUGCAAGAUUAAAAACCCUCAAGUUUCUAAUUCCCAAUCAAGCACCCCCCCUCUCCUCUCUUUAAGGCCUUUAUCUCAUUUUAUUUUCCUCGCAUCCCCAUAAAAAUUGUCGCAAAAGAUAUUAUAGUUUAGAGAUGAUAUGUGUGACCUUGAAGAAGAGAGAAAGUAGACUGAAAUAACAGACAAGACAGUAGACUGAAAUAACAGACAAGACUAAUUUUAUUAGAACCACACGACAUCCGAUGGAUAACCAUUUAUUUUUCCAUUUUGACAACCUAGAUCUUACCACCUAUAUCACCUUCAUAUUAUAUUUGUUCGGUUGGGUACUUGAGCUUGGUGCAAUGAGAUAACAACACUUCAAUUGUGGAUAUCAAGUAAGGGAUCUAAGAUGGCUAUCAAAAAAUUCAAAAUCCUUCAGUUUUACAAAUGAUUGGUCAGCAUGUAAUUUGAUUAGUCAUCUCAAACGCACUUAUAGUCGGUUUGAGAGAUCAUUUUUUUUUUUUUUUGUGUUGGGAUGUGUUUAAAUAUUGGAGAUCUCGUAUUAUUAUUGAUUGUUGGCCAUAUGUAGAAGAAAUUAGUUUGGUUGUUAGAAUUAGAUUUUUGGUUUGUUAUGGAUUUUAAUAUUUCAUUAUGUAUCUUUAGCACCUUAGUAGUAAUAUCAAAAUACGGAUGAGGAAUAUCCCAAAUCAUGAUCAUUUUAAUUGUAUUGUCAUAAUUUUAGCAUUUGAAUGAAUGAAACUUAUUUUGGUGUAAAAAAUUAUGACUUACAAAAUAUAAUAAUUUAGACUCUACAAUAUAUUAAUUUACUCUUUUUUUUUGCUUGUUUAAUUUACUUUAAUAUAUAUUAUUUAAGUAUGUGUACAAAAUGAUGUGGUUAUUGACGAUGGUCUUUGAUCAUUCCUCACCGCUCUAACAUUCAAGUCAUCGAGGUCUUAAAGGUGUUUGGAGGAAUAUCAUGGAAUGAAAAUUAUGUACAUGUUUUCAUGGUGAGGUUCUCUUUUCGUUGAUUCCUAGAAGUUACAAGAGCAUACAUCUUAAGGGUAAUACCUUGAUGGCGUAGAGGGUUCAUAGGGGCUCUAAACACUUUAUUAAGUGCUUAGGGACAUUUUUAUUGUGCACAUGAUAGUCAAAUUCCAUGAGAUGUCUCAUCAAGGUUAGGUUUGUCUUCCGUUGUAGACUUUAGGUUAGAUGGUUGAGCCUCAGUAUAGUUUCAUUAAGGUAUUAUUGCCACACUUAAAAUGCAUUUAACACGUCAUUUUAAUAAGAAAUAAAAACUUAAAAAAUAAAAAUAAAAAAACAAAAAAUCUUUUUUAUAAACCCAAAAAUUAUAUAAAAUAAUUAAAAAAUUCUCCAACUUAAUAUAUUCCGUAAUUUUUGAAAGAUUAUAAAAAAAAAUUCAACAAAAAUUCCCGAUUAAUUUUAAAUUAUAAAAAAAGCAAAAAAAAAAAAGUAUUAUCUAAUUUUUUUUUAUUUUGAAAAUUAAGUUAUAGAAUUUUUUCUUUUAAAAUUUUUUGUAAAAUCUGAAUUCUGGAACAAUAUUUCAAGAUUUUAUAAAAAUUCUAGUAUAAAAUUUUCGAAAAAAAAAAUAUGAAUGGUUGUGUUGUAGACAUGUGGUGACCAUAGGUUUCCCCGAGGUUGUCUGUAUCCUAGCUAGGAUUAGGUAGAACUCACUGAGACAUUAUUUAUCAUCCCAAUCCUUAUUUGUUUCAGAUCAGCAGGUUGGUUUAGUAGGAUAUAGCAACACGUGACCGAAUGGAUACUCAGCAAGUGCUCAUUCGUACCGGUUGCAGGACUUUUUUAUGGAUUCAAGUGUGUAUAUCCUAUAUAUCGAAUGUGUAGUGUUGUAUCAUUAGUUGUACGAACAUGAUUUGUUGUGUUUAUUUAUCCAUUCAAAGAUUCAUGUUGUAAAAAAUUUAAUGUAUCCAGUACUAAAGAUAAUGCACAUACUAAACUUUCUACAUACGUUUAGUUUGGGCGUUACAAAAAAAAAAAAAAAUGACCUGUCAGUGCCACGUCAUAGAUUUUGCUGAGUCAAAGGGGCAAUUUUGAAUAAUCUUUAUUUUACAAUGACCGAAUCCAAUUUUUUUUUUUUUUUUUUACAGGGAACAAACCUAACAAUGCUCUAUAUUACAGGGGGGUAAAACACUAUUAACCCUAUAUAUUAUGAAAGGCUAGCUAGGAAAUAAAUAACAAUGGGCGGUUGGUAAACAAUAAUUACAAGCAAUAUUUUUUAUGUAAGAUUUGUUGUAUGAACUAAAGGGACAAACAUGAUGCAUAAAUGCAUUUUAGUGACAUCUAAUAAUUAUUUUAGUUUUGAUGAAGAGUUUCUUAUGGCAAAAAAAAUAUUAAAAACUAUUGCAUUGAUGUAAACAUUCCAUGGGUUUUUUUGUUAUAUAAAGUGUUCAAGUAAUUAUACAUUUGCUAUCUGCAAAAGUGAAAAUAAAAUGGCUGAAAUUCUCAAGUUUGUUUAUAUUGUGAUCCUAUUUAUUUCCAUAUUACUUGUUGUAGAAACCGGUGAGACUAAGUUCAUUCUCAUUUUUUUUUAUCUUAUACAAAAUUUCUCAAUAAUUUUUAUUAAUAUUUCAUUAUUCUUAUUGUACAUUACAGAACAAUGUGUUUAUGAUGCCGAUUGUGAAAAAAUAUACCCGCUUCAUCGUCAACAUUUAUUUAAGUGCAUAAAGGCAUUUUGUGUGAGGUUAGGUCGCCAAAGUAAAAAUUAUUUUUCUAUUAUGUAUAAGACUUUUAUUUUCUUUGCUUGUUAUGCUUUUACUCUUAUAAUUUGUCUCAAAGUUUCACAUGCAUAGAAAUCUCUUUGAUAGCUAUAGAAGCAUGUUAAAUAUAUAUUUUAGAAGGAAUACAAAUAUAUAUUUCUUCAUUUAAAACACCUAGUAAGAGGUACUAAAACAAUAAUAAAAUAAAAUCUAAAACAUUAUAAUGGAGAAUCGGAUUAUAUUACGAAAAUUUUGUUAUCUUUGUUUCCUUGUGAAUGAUAUAGAUAUGGUAAGGAGAAAUAUGACCAAAGGUGCUUAAUAUAUAAUCUAAGAAAAUUAGAAUUGAGUAAUUAGUCUUAAGAGAGGAGAGUAAAAUGUCGAGUUUUACACUUUAGUGUAUUAUCUUGAGGAUGUCUUUGUACAACUACCCUCUAAUCACUCAAUCGUAUUAUCUUUGUGAGAGUGUGGAUGCCCAAUAGUUUUAGCUUGACUAAGGUUUCUUGAUUAUGGAAUUCAGCUAAGAGUAUGCUUGCUUUAGCACAAGAAUUUUAUGAAAAUUGUUGUUUACAAUUCAAACAGGGCUAAAACAUACCAGAAAAAGACGUAAAUGUCCAUCGCCAGUUAACUGCCGCCAGUUAAAAUCCAUCGGCAGUUAACUACCGAUGAUGUUAUGUUGAUAAAUUACUAGUGUUUCCUAGAAUUGAUUGAAGUGUGAAGAACAUUCUUCGACUUUUAUUUAUUGAUCCACUUGUGUGCUUUGCAAGUCAAGCAAAGUCCAAUAACCCAUUUGUUGGUUUUGCUAACCAAUUAGCACCAUAUACUAAAUGCACCCACAUAUAAUAAGUCUCACUUAUAUAUCUCAUUUAUUUGUUCCUUUGUGUGUGACCAUGUAGGUUCUUGUAACAUUGAUAAUACUAAUAAAUUUUAUAUUUAAUAUUAUAAAUAAUGACUGGUAUCUAGCAACACAUCACCACUAUACAAUUGACAAUAUGUCAUGUGAUCUGACAGGGAAAAAUAAUUCAUGUCUAAAAAAUAAUCCAUAAGAGGGAGAUACUUAUUUCUAGUAGAGUAUCUUGCCAAUAUGGUGCUUGAUACUAAUACUUAUCAAUAAAUAUGAGUUAAUAUUUGAUUGGUUUUUAGUCUUGGUGGGAGAUUGUUUAAGUAAGCCCGAAUAACCAAUCUAUAUUGAUUGAAUUUGGUUUUGUAUCAUGAUAUAUAUAUAUAUAUAUAUAUAUAUAUAUAUAUAUAUAUAUAUAUAUAUAUAAAAUAAGGCAUUUUUUUUUAUUGACUUUGUCGUUUUAAAAGAACAUUAAGUGUGACUCAAUCGCGAGACCUCAUUGAACUAAAUGACAUUAUUUUUAAAGUAUCCGCAGUCAAAAUAUUUAAUAUGAAAUGGAAUAGUAGUAAGGAAUAUAGUCUAUUAUGUGGGUAGACUGAUAAUCACAUCUUACAGAUCUUGGAUAAAGAGAUAUUAAGUCUUCACAUAGAUAUAAAUACGGUUAAUAAGUUUUUACCUCCUGCAAUAUAGGUCACUUUUGGUUUUACCCCCUGUAAAAAAAAAUUGUCAGAUUCCGUCCUUGUAAAUUUUUUUGUUUUGGAAUACCCCCUAGGACAGCUGACUGUAUAAUUUUUAUUAUUUUUUAUUGUGUACACAUGACAUUUGUGAUUUUUUUUUUAAAAAACGAAAAAAAUUAAUAAAAAUGAAAAAAAAAAUACCGGAAAAAUAAAAAAUUUAUGGAAAAUUUAAUAAAAAUGAUUAUAAAAAAAAUCAGGUAAAAUGAAAAAAUUCUAGAAAAUAAAAUGAAAAAAAAUCUGUAAAAAUUUUAAAAAAAUAUGGAAAAGAUUAAUAUAUAUCGAAAUUGUCGAAAAAAUUAUAAAAAAAAUCUGAAUUAAGUUCCUGAAAUAUUUUAAAUUCCUGAAUUUUUUCUUUUUUAUAAAAAUUCUAAUAAAAAAUAACACUUCUUAUGAAAAUUUCAGGAACUUAAACUAUUUCGAAUUUAUUUAAAAUAAUAAGAAAAUAUAUUUUGAAAAAAAUUCAAAUUUUUUUUUCAGGAACCUGAUCUUUUUUAGAAUUUUUCAGGAACUUAAUUAAGAUUUUUUUUUAUAAUUUUUUCGAAAAUUUCGAUACAUAUUAAUUAUUCCAGUUUUUUUUUUCAUUAUUUUUCAUUUUAUGAGAUUUUUUUAAUUUUUCCGGUAUUUUUUCAGAUUUUUUUCAUUAUUUUUCAAGAAUUUUUUUUAUUUUUUUAAAAAAAUCACAAAUGUCACGGGUGCAAAAAAAAAAAUAUAUACAGUCAGCGCGCCACGUUAUUAGAAAAAGAUGACUCAGCGUGCCACAUCAGCUGGCCUAGGGGGAUAUUCCAAAACAAAAAAAAAAAAUUACAAGGUUGAAAUCUGACAAAAAAAUUUUACAUGGGGGAAAACCAAAAGUGACCUAUAUUGCAGGGGGUAAAGGCCUAUUAACCCAUAUUAAUAUUAUGAGUUAUAUUUAUAUUGGAAUGACUUACCAUAAUAUGCUACCUAGAAUGUUAUGUAAGUGUCACAAAUUAUUGUCAUAAUGAUAAGUCUUGUAUUCCACCCUUCGACCUAAAACCACUGUGUACCCUAGAUGUAGGAGUCAAAUACUUUGAUGUCGUUCAAACAUUGUCUGUAAUUGAAAAUUUAUAAAGCCGGUUGAUGGGUACUCCGCAAAUCAUGACGAGGGACAUGAGUGACCUAUAUAGAAUUUGCCCCUCCUACACAACAGGAUAAAUGUCUAAGGGCCCAAUAUUUAAUUGGAAAAGGGUGACCCGCUAUGUCUUGUGUUCAACACAAACAUGAGAGAUAAAAUGGUAAUCAUACACAAGAUCAUUAUUACAGAAAAGGUUUCUUCAGAUCACAUGACAUUUUUGUCACUUGGAUAGCAGUGAUGUGUUGUUAGAUACCACUCACUGUUUAUAAUAUUAAAUGUUUGAUUUAAUAUUAUUUCCAAUAUUACAAGAAUUUACAAGGUCACACACAAAAUGAUAGUUAAAUAAAAGGUAAAUGCGAGACUUAUUGACUAAUUAGUUAGUGAAGCCAACAAAUGAGUUAUUGAGCUUAUGUAAGUUUAGUAGUGACUCAUUGACUAUCAGAGCACAUAAGUGAUUGUAUAAAUAUAACUCUUGUCCUAAACCAAGAGUACACUAAAACUGAAUUCCACAAUUCAUAAAUCAUAAAAUCAUCCCUCUUUCUCUAAACCUUGAUUCAAAUAAGCUAGCAUUGAAUGAAUAAUAUGUUAUUAUGGACUGAGUAGAGGUUUUUCCAAUUGAGCAAUGCUUGUGAUCGCUAGUAAAUUUGACAUAAAAGGAACUACACUACAAGAAGUAAUACUUCGAUCCCUGAUCAUGUUGAUUCUUCGUAAGGAUCCAUUGAAAGAAAAAUUAUUUUAUUUUAUCUGCUGCAUAUAUUUUAUUUUGUUAUAAGAUAUCCCUUCAGUGGUAUAAGAGUCACUACAACCCAAGUUGCGAUUUUUUUAGUAUAAAAAACUUUUAAUUAAUUUCCACAAUAAAUAUUUUUAAAUUUGGCUGUCACAUUAAUGGUAUAGGAGGCAGGCCCGUUUGUCAGACUGUUAUGUAGGGGUGGCAAUAGGAUCCAUGAGAUCCAUAUCCAUCCAAUUCAUCCACUAUAAAAUUCAUCUAAUCCAUCCACCAAACAAAAAGUUUGUUAAUGUAUUGGUUUGAAAUCCAUCCAUCAAAGACUAUGGAUGGAUUGAGUCCAUCCACCAAUUUUUGAAAUCCAAUGGAUCACCUCUUUAAAAAAGAAAAAAAAAAUCAAUGGAUUACUUCAAAUAAUAUUUAAUUUUUUAUUUAAAUAAAUAUAUAUUUGAUAAAAUAAAAAAAAUUAAUUAAAAAAAUAAUUUAGGAAAAAAACUGACGGAAAAAAAAUAAUUUUUUUUUUUAAUAUUUAAAAAUUAUUAAUAUAAUAUAUUAUUAAAAUAUUAUUUAAUAGUAUUUAUUAAGGGUGACGGUCAACGCCGGAGCUUGACCGGUCAACACCGGAGCUCCGCUGUGAACAACCGUGAGACGGUGGUGGACCACUGUUGGUCGCCGAAAAAAUGGCCGGUCUCCGCCAUGCACCGCCGUGGGGGUUGCGGACUGGCCACGGUGGUCAACACCGGUGGCUGUCAGUUGACCACCACCACCAUAUUAUUUUAAGUUAUUUAAUUAAUACUAUUUAAUAUUUCUGAAUUUUUAAAUUAUGUGGCCUUAUGACAAAAACCUUAUUGGGCUAAAGAAAAAAAAGUAUUGGGCUUGCUUAUAUAAAAUUUAUUUGCAUUGAAUUUACUAAACAAAGCUGAUUAAUAAAUAAUACACCCCUUCAAACAAAAUAAUACACUUUGAUUUAUGAAUCGGAUGGAUUAUCCAUCCAAUAAAAUUUAAUAAUGGAUGGAUUGGAUGGACAUAAUACUUAAUGGAUGGAUUGGAUGGUUUUUUUUAACAAAAAAAAAUAGUGGAUUGUAAUGGACUAAUGGACCUUUUUUGAUCCAUCCAUUAAGAUCCAAAUUCAUAACCAUCCAAUCCAUCCAUUUUGCCACCCCUAUUGUUAUGUGACCUGUGUCUACCAUAUUUGGUUAAUAAGUGCGUUCCAUGUAAUUUCUUAAUAUUAUGAAAUAAUUUUCAUAUAAUAGUUGUGUAGUUACGUGAGAUGGUUGUUGUUAAAUGUUUUCCCGUUGUUGUAUAUCCUAUGCGACAUUAUUUAGAAACCAAGUGAAUUAUCGAACACUUUGAAUGAAUCAUUGUAACAACAUUCAUUUUUCUUUUCUAUAAAUAAUUUUGAAUACAAUUUAUUAGAAGUAAUUUUGGGUAAUGGUUAAGUUAGGAACUUAUAAGGAGUAAAAUUGUGGCCCAUUUAGUGAUAAGAGUGGUUGUCUCUUGGAAAUAAUCUUCAAGGUUAAGUAGGAUCUUCCCACCAGAACUCACACUCACCUACACAUACAACAACGCAAUCACCCAAUCAGACAUAGAUAAACUCGCAAGUGUGUGAUUUUACCGCUUAAUUAAAAGAUAUUGAUCCCACAUGAACUUUCGAGUAUCGAAAGUGUCUUCCUAAGAUGUUUAGCUAUAAAAGUUUUGAUUGUUUUGGAAAAAUAUGCAAUUUAUAAAAGAACUUUGGAAUGAUUGGGUUUCACCACAAUGAUGAACAAAUGAAAUCCCAAUCCCUUCUGUUGCUAUGGAGAAUCAAUGUCUAAAGGUUAGGUAAUUCUAAGGUAAGUAAUGGCCUCUUACAAGGAUACAAAAAUGUAUUCUAUUUGGCAAGAUCAUAAAGCUAAUUUAUAGCUUAUACGUUCAUAUGAUUAAAAAAGUCUUGUUUCUGUCCCCGUAAACUUAACUCAAUUGGUAGGAACAUUGCAUAAUUUAUGCAGGGGUCGGAGUUCGAACCCUGGACACUCACUUCUCCACAUUUAAUUGUGCGAACUCUAGCCACUAAUCUACUAGAUCAAAAAAAAAAAAAAGUCUUGUUUCUUAAAUGACAUUUCUUCACAAAAUUAUAGCUUAUCUUACUACCUUAUAAUUUAUUUUUUAGACGCUGUUUCAAUUUACGUUUGAGCUUAUAACUUACUACCUCCGGUCCUAUUUAUAAGAGAAAUUUAGGUCAACAAAAGUGAAUGUAUUUGGACUGAAUUUUUAACUAGAUACAUUAACUUUUGUUGACCCAAAAUUCUCUUAUAAAUAGGAUCGGAGGGAGUAUAACUUAUCAUCUUUUGUCUCACUUUUACCAUCAUCACUUUAACUAAAGUCCAUUUUUACCCUUAGUAAUAAAUAGCUACAUUUAAGAAAGAAAUGUUAGGUUUAAUUAAACUUAAACUUCAGAUUUCAAUGUCUAGUAAUUAAUAAAAGUUACGUUUACUUAACAAUGAAUGUUCGUUUAAGAAGCAUUCAAAAAAAUGUUACGUUUAAGAAGAAAAAAGAAUAUAGUUAUGUUUAAGAAAAGAAAAAGUCUUGUCAUAAUUAACUUUGUUUUGUUUAAUUUUUUAUAAGGUAUAAAAACUGAAAUAAAAUAAAUUUAAAAUAAGAUUUCAGGAAAUUUCUUCAUUUAAAAAAAAAUGAAAGACAUGUUAAAUUAAUAAAUUUAAAUCAUCAAAUUUUAAAUAUCUUAAAUAUGAAUAGAUAUAUAUUAUAUUAAAAAUUACAAAUUUUCUUUUAUGCCAUUUUACAUUAAUUAGUUGGUUGAACCACUAAAUUUAUCAAACAAUUUUAUUAGUUUAUCAGUCAUCAAUCAACGGCCAUCAACCAUAAGCAAUCAAUCAUCAGCUAUAAGAUAUAAAAUAAAAAUAAUUUUUAUAAUUAAAAAUGGUUGUUAUAUGUAUUUCAUGCUAUAUGUAUUUAGUAACACGAUUUAGGAUAAUAUUUAAAUAUAUUGUUAUAUUGAUAGAUUCAUGGUACUCAGCUAAGAGGGUGAUAUGAUGAUAUUGAUGGAGAAGGUGAGAUUGUGCUCGAAUAAUCGAGGUAGCGAUAUGUGAAAUUUAUGAUAAUUGAGAGAUUUAUAUAGUUUGCAUCAUUGUUGUAAUACCACUUCCAUGUGGUAUGGGAUACACGAGGUCAAUCAUCCUAACCGAACACUAACUGUGUGUUUGUAUGAGGAAUGUUUUGAGGGAAUUUAAGUACUUUGAUGUGAAAUUUUGAAUAAUAAUUUGAAGAAUUUUUAAAAUGAUAGAAAUUUAUGAAAUAUUUUGUUCAAGUUAAAUUUAAAGAAUUUCAAAUGACACCUAAAAGUUAAGAAUUUCAAAAUUCUUCAUUCUUAUAAAUUUUCAAAUUUUCCAAAAUUUUCAAUUUGACAUUUGUAAAUUUAUAAAAAUUGCAAAUUGACCCCUCAAAUUUUCCAAAAAUUAUAAUUUGACCCCUCAAUUUUUUGAAAUUUUCAAAUUAACCCCUAAUUCAUUUUUCAAAUUUGACCCAAAAAAAUAAAAUUUAUAAAAGUUGCCCAAAAAUGAUGACAAUAUAUAUUUUUUAUUACUUCAUCCAAACAAUAACAUUUAAAAAUGAAAGCAAUUGAAUUGAAUCAUUUGAAUUCCCUAAAAUUCUAAAUUCUUCAAAAUUUUUCAAUUACCCCAUCCAAACACACUCUAAGAUAUAAUUAUAUUCACAGGGAUGGAAUGUCUCUAAGGAUUAGGUCAUUCUAUCCGAUUAUUGGUUGGAUGACGCUUUCUAAGGAUUAGGAUCGAUUGUUUCAACAUAUAGUCAAAGUUGCAUAAUUUGAGUGAUUUUGUGGUUGCUAUGAUUGCUUGCUUGUAUGUGUGUGGCAUGUUAUUUUACAUUUCUAUCCCACUUUAUGUAUUUUUCCUUAUGUAUUGAUUACAUAUGUUUUAGAUCAAGUUGAGGAGGUGCAUGUAGCAAAGGAUGGUGUAUUCCCUUCCACCGUUCAUGCAGCUGACGCCACAGGUGUCGACGCAAAGGGACGUAAAGACUUGUCUUAAGGAUGAUUGUAUUAAAUGAUACUCCCUCCGUUUCAUAAUACUUGUCCAUUUUAGAGAAUAAUUUUGUUUCACAAUACUUGUCCCUUUCAAGUUUCAAUGCAACAUUAAUUAUUGUCUUGUCAAUAAUACCCUUGCAUAUUUAUUGUAGAGAGAGAAAAAAAUAAAAUGAAAUAAUAAAUGAUUAAGGGUAUUAUAGAAAACACACACAUAUUUUCAUCAAAAAUAACAAAAUUUAUUUGGUUUCUUGGUUAGUGCAAUUUCUCCAAAAUGGACAUGUAUUUUGAAACGGAUGGAGUAUUUGAUAACUUUUAUCACGUGGAAUCUUGGCUCGGAUCCACAAACAUGCUUGAUGCUUAAAAUAAGAUGCAUUUCAAAUAUAUUUGUAUGCUUAUGUUCAUGUUUUAAAUUAAUUCGUAUUUUAAAUUUCUUCUUCUGCUUAUCUUCUAGAUGUUAGCUUUUGUAUUUCAAACGAAGUGUCUGGUGGAAACCAUAAUUUUCUUUGUGGUUAAAGUAAGCAACAAGUGUCUCCUUGUUUCCCAAAGGAUAUAUGUAUUAAAAUAUGAGACAUCUUAUCAACUUUGUGGCUAAAGGAGGAAACCAUAAUUUUCUUUUUAGAGCCAUUGUUUAACUUCAAGAAUGAGCACAAUACAGUUUAACUGCUGGCGGCCGACACGGUUGUGGUCAGCAGCUGGCGUGGUGGUGAUUGAUCACUAUCCUAUGUCUGGUGGUGGCAGGAGUUAUAUAUCUUCUGAUUGAAUUAGUUUUACUUCAAAAAAAAUCUAAGUACCUAGUGGAGUAAAACUAAUUCAUAAUUCAAUCAGAUAUUGAAUGUCAAAAUGAAUAAUGCAUUAACUGUCCAUAUAAAAAAGAUAACAAUUAUUAUUUAUACCAACACCUAUAAAGGACAUGACCCAUUGUACAGUGUACUAUAAGGCUAAUUAAGAAAAUGAAGGCUCAUGGUAACACACUGAAAAUAAAAUAGCAUUAUACAACUCCAAAAGAAAACAAUCUAAAUGAUUAGCUAAAUAUUAUGACAUUUAAAAUUCCUCGACCAAAUAUUAACACAUUGAUCCUCGUUAUAAUACUAACAUAACGGAAAAAGCAACUACCAGACCUAUAAAUAAAAAAUAUUUGAGAUUACUAAGGAGAUUGAUCCAGAAACAAGCCAAAGAAGACAAUUUGCAUCUUAGGAUCUCGGUCCAAAUCAUUAACAAGCAUCUAUACAAAUAGAAAAUGAAAACAAAAACGUCUUCUAUAAACCCGGAGAUAAACAAACAAGGAAUUUUAGAUAGCACACAAUGAACAAAUCCUCAAAAACUUGUUGCAUUUGAAUUACACAUAGCCGAAAAAGACAAACAAAAAAUUCCCUCCACUUCAAUUUUAAAACCACCCAAAUCGACCACAAAUCUGAGCGAUAUAAUAUCCAUACUCCAUCGAAUUCUAUCAGAACUUGCUAAUAAUAUGCACACAAUCCCAAAGCCAAAAAAAAAUAAAAAAAUACCAGAGCACAGUACCACCCAAACUGCUGCAAACCUAACACACUGCUACGAUAAAGACACAACCGAGACAAAUAAAAUCUGAGUUGAAUUAGAGGGUAUGAAUUAAGUCAAUUAUGCACUUCAAAAUCACCAGAACCAUCUAAAUUUUCAAAAUGUAAUAUUGUCAAGGCAAGCAAACGGACUCAAACACGACUGCACAAUAUUGUAAUCGUGAAUAUUUGAUUUAAUCCACAACCAGUUCCAAGAAUAAACUUUCAUCUCCUCAAGCAUUUUUUCUAUGUGACUUUUUUUAUUGUGAAAUAGUUUCUUGUUUCUAGUCUUCCAAAUGCUCCACACACAGGAGAACCAAACUACACUGACACGCUUUGAGAAUGCUCUUCCGCUACCUAGUAGACCUUCCUUCCUUUUGAAAAGCCGAAGAGAUCCCAAAUCACGAACAUAUAUAGUACCAUAAACCUAGAAAAACAAGACACUAAAAAAAAUAGAUGACAUACUGAUUCUUCGAACCCACACUCUCCAACACAUUGUAAAGAUCCCUCACCAGUUGCAACUCUUUUGAAAAGAUUAUGUUUUAGUAGCAACUCUAUUUUGAAAUAAUCUCCGCUCAAAACAUGAGACUUUUGAUGUGAUUGCUUUUUGCAACGCCUUUGCUCAUAAUAGAUUAGAAAAAUUUCGAAUUUCAAACAUAAACACCCUAUAAGCCUCUUUUACCGAGUAUAAAUUUGAGGACUCCUUAGAACCUAUAUCUAACUAAAAGAUGUCUUUUCACCAAGUGGAACUUCCUCUACCCCAUAUAGUAAUAGAUUCAUCCCUUAUUCCAUACAUAUUUACCAAAGUUAUAUACCACAUACCACUUCUUUCAUUACUAAUUUUCCACCGCCAUUUUCUUAAAAGUGCAAGAUUAAAAACCCUGAAGUUUCUAAUUCCCAAUCCCCCCUCCUCUUCGAGGCCUUUAUCCCAUUCUAUUUUCCUCUCAUGUCCCACCCCCCAUAAAAGUUGUCACAAAAGAUAUUAUAGUUUAGAGAUGAUAUAUGUCGGACCCUUGAAGAAAGAGAGAAAGUAGACUGGAAUAACAAUCAAGACUAAUUUUAUUACAACCACACGACCUCCGACGGAUAACUGUUUAUUUUCCAUUUUGACAACCUAGUUCUUACCACCUAUAUCACCUUCAUAUUAUAUUUGUGGGGUUGGGUGCUUUAGCUUCGUGCAAUGAGAUAACGCCACUUCAAUUGUGGAUACCGCGUAUGGGAUCUAAGAUGGCUAUCAAAAAAUUCAAAAUCCUUCAAUUUUACAAAUGAUUUGUUAGUAUGUAAUUUGAUUAGACAUCUCAAAAGCACUUAUAGACAAUUUGAGAGAUCAAAUUUUUUUGUUGGGAUGUGUUUAAAUAUAUUGUAGAUCUCAAAUUAUUAUUGAUCGUUGACCAUAUGUAGAAGAAAAUUUGUUUGGUUGUUAGAAUUAGGUUUUUGGUUUGUUAUGGAUUUUAAAAUUUCAGUAGGUAUCUUUAGCAUGUUAGUAAUAAUCUCAAAAUACGGAUGAGGAAUGUCCCAAAUCACGAUCCUUUUAAUUGUAUCGUCAUAAUCUUAGCAUUUAAAUGAAUGAAGCUUAUUUUGGUGUAAAAAAUCGUGACGUACAAAAUAUAAUAAUCCAGGCUCUACAAUAUAUUAAUUCACUUUUUUGUUGUUGUUUAAUAUACUUUAACAUUUAUUAUUUAAGUAUGUAUACAAAAUGAUGUGGUUAUUAACGAUGGUCGUUGAUCAUUCCUCCUGAUACUCUUAACACUCAAGUCACCAAGGUCUUAAUAUGAUUGAAGGAAUAUCUUAAAAUUAAAAUUAUGUACAUGUUUUUAAGGUGAGAUUUUCCACUCAUUGAUUCCUAGAAGUUACAAGAGGGUAAUACCCUGAUGGCAUAGAGGGUUCACAUGGGCUCUAAACACUUUAUUAAGUGCUAAGGGGGAUUUUUAUUAUGCACAUGAUAGUCAGAUUCCUUGAGUUGCCUCAUCAAGGUUUCUCUUCCUUUGUAGACUUUAGGUUAGAGGGUUGAACCUCAAUCUAGUUUCAUUAAGGUAUUAUUCUUACAAAUAAUUUUUACACUGCUCUAUACUAUUAUUUAUCUUUUAUGAUUUUUUUUUGUCUUUUUUCUUCCCCAUGUUACAAGUGUAGAAUAUCCAUUGUCUAUCAAAAAAUAAUCUCAACUAGAAAAUCAUAUUUUCCACAUUCAAUGGAGUUUACCCUUCUAACUACAUUUUCUUUAACCACAAGAUUCGAGCACGAGACCGUAUUCAAGACAUGUGAAAUCAAUUCCACUCAUCACAACAUAUUACAAUAAUGAUUAUAUAUAUAUAUAUAUAUAUAUAUAUAUAUAUAUAUAUAUAUUAUGAAAGGCUAGCUAAGAAAUAAAAAACAUUGGAUAGUUGGUAAACAAUAAUUACACGCAAUAUUUUUAUGUAACAUUUGUUGUAUGAACUAUAGGGACAAAUAUGAUGCAUAAAUGCAUUUUAGUGACAUCUAAUAAUUAUUUUAGUUUUAAUGAAGAAUUUCGUAUGACAAAAAAGUUAUUAAAAUCUAUUGAAUUGAUGUAAACAUUCCAUGGAUUUUUUGUUAUAUAAAGUGUUCAAACAAUUAUACAUUUGCUAUAUGCAAAGGUGAAAAUAAAAUGACUCAAAUUCUCAAAUUGGUUUAUAUUGUGAUCCUAUUUGUUUCCAUAUUGUUUGUUGCAGAAGCCGGUGCGACUAAGUUCAUUCUCAUUUUUUUAUCUUAUACAAAAUUUCUCAAUAAUUUUUAUUAAUAUUUCUUUAUUCUUAUUUUACAUUAUAGAACAAUGUGUUAGUGAUGCCGAUUGUCAAAUCAAAUUUCCGGGUCCCCGUCAACAUUUAUUGAGGUGCACACAGGGUAAUUGUGUGAUGUUAGUAGGUCAAGGUAAAAAUUAUUUCUCUAUUAUGUCUAAGACUUUAUUUUCCUUACUUGUUAUAAUAUUUUUACUCUUAUAAUUGUCUCAAAGUUUCACAUGCUUCUCCGACCUAGAAAUCUCUUUGACAACAUUAGAAGCAUGUUAAAUAUAUAUUUUUGAACAAAAACAAAUAUUUUCUUCAUUUAAAAAAACUAGUACAAGAGGUAUUAAAACAAUAAAAUAAAAUCUAAAACCCUAUAAUGGAGAAUCAUGUUAAACAUAUUAUGAAAUUAUUGUUAUGUUUGUUUCCUUGUGAAUGAUGUAGAUAUGUUUAAGGAGAAAUAUUAUCAAAGGUGCUUGAUAUAUAAUCUAAGAAAAUUAGAAUUGAGUAAUAAGUCUUGAAAAAAUUAAAAAAGUUUUUAUUGUUUUGGAAAAAUAUGCAAUUUAUAAAAUAACCUUGAAAUGAUUGGAUUUCACCAUAAUGAUGAAUAAAUAAAAGGCUUAAAUAUGUAUUUGAUCCUUGCAAUUAGGGGUCGUUUAAAAAUUGGUCCCUGUAAUCGCUAAUCCUGGCAAUUUACCGUUGCAUUGUUUAAUCAUUUAAAAUUUCGUCCCUCUCCCCACUUAAUCACUACCACGCCACAUGAAAUUCCAAUUUUACCCCUGGGUUUCCAAUUCUUUCUUCAAUAUUUUGUCAUCUUCUUAAGGGCAAAAUUGGAAUUUCAUGUGUGGCAGUGAUUGCCAUGUCAUCAAAUUAGUGACGUGGCAGUGAUUAAAUUGGUCAAAUGACGAAAUUUUAAAUGAUUAAUGAUUGCAAGGCUAGUUUGCAAGGAUUAACGAUGACAUGGACCAAUUUUUAAACGACCCCUAAUUGCAAGGAUCAAAUACAUAUUUAAGCCUAAAUAAAAUCCCAAUCCCUUCUAUUGCUAUGGAGAAUCAAUGUCUAAAGGUGAGGUAAUUCUAAGGUAAGUAAUGGCCUCUUACAAGGAUACAAAAAUAUAUUCAAUAUGUCUGUUUGCCGUGAUAAAAAAAAAAAACUAAUUUAUAGCUUAUAAGUUUAUAUGAUUAAAAAAUUCUUGUUUCUUAAUUGACAUUUCAUCACAAUUAUAGUUUAUCUUGAUAACUUAUAGUUUAUUUUUCAGACAUUAUUUGAAGUUACGUUUAAGCUAAAAAGUAUAUAUCUUAUCAUCUUUUGUCUCACUUUUACCCUCAUCACUUUAACUAAAAUUCAUUUUUACCCUUAGCAAUAAAUAGCUACAUUUAAAGAUAAAAUGCCAGGUUAAAUCAAACUUCAUAUUUCAAUGUCUAGUAAUAAAUAAAUAGUUACGUUUACUUAACAACAAAUGUUCGUUUAAGAAACAUUUAAAAUAAAUGUUACGUUUAAGAAGAAAAAAGAAUAUAUUUAUGUUUAAGAAAAGAAAAGGCUUGUCACAAUUAACUUUAUUUUGUUUAAUUUUUAUAAAGUAUAAAAAUUGAAAUCCAGAAGUCCUAGCUCAACUGGCAAAAUGCCGAAAUUGUUAGGUCGGAUGUCAUGACCGGGGUUCGAACCCCGGUACCUCCACUUGUGUGUGUGAGUUUAUAAUGGCUUUGCCAUUUCGUCUAUCUACAAAAAAAAAAAAAAAGUAUAAAAAUUGAAAUAAAAUAAAAUAAAUUUAAAAUAAGAUUUUAGGAAAUUUAUUAAUUUAAAAAUAAUAUAUAAAAGACAUUUUAAAUUAAUAAAUUUAAAUCAUCAAAUUUUAAAUAUCUUAAAUAUUAAUUGAUAUAAAUUUUAUUAAAAAUUACAAAUGUUCUUUUAUGUCAUUUUAUGUUGAUUAACUUGUUGAACCACUAAACUUAUCAAACAAUUUUAUUAGCUUAUCAGAUGAUUGUGGUAGCGAUGCUAUGAUUGAUUGUAUGUGUGUGACAUGUUACUUUACAUUUCUAUCCCACUUUAUAUGUGUAUGUGAAUCUUACCCCUUAUGUAUUGGUUAUAUAUGUUUUAGAUCCAUUUGAGAAGGAGCAUGUAGCAGAGGAUGAUGUAUUCCCUUCCACCGUUCAUGCAUAUCACGUGGAAUCCUAGCAAAGAUCCACAAACAUCCUUAAUUGAUGCUUAAAAUAAGAUGCAUUUCAUUUCAAAUAUAUUUGUAUGCUUAUGUUCAUGUUUUAAAUUACUUCGUAUUUUAAAUUGCUUCUUAUGCUUGUCUUCUAGAUGUUAGCUUUUGUAUUUCAACGAACUUCCAGAACACUUGAAGUGUCUCCUUGUUUUCCAAAGGAUGUCAGCUUCUUAUUUAUUUUUCAGUUUGAAAGGUUUCAACAUUGAACAUUGAAGGUGAGAAAAACACAAGAGAGAGAGGGGGGGCUUCUGAUGCAAUGAACAGAAUCAGAUAUGCAGCGGAAAAGAACAGAGCAGAGAAAAGAAAAGCGAGACACAAGCAAUUAUCCUGGUUCCUUCCACAAAUCGGAAGUAGUCCAGUCCCCAUUGCACUUCCAAGGAGAUUUCACUAAUAAUCACAAAGAUUACAAAUGCUCAAUACUCUCUAAGUAUGAGACUUUUCAAAAUGCUCAAGCACGCAGGAAAGAGUCUUCCAAUGCUCAAGCACUAAGCAAGAGUCUACUAAUGCUCAAGCACGCAGACGAGAGGCUUCUGUACGUUCAAACAAAAAUACAGAGAAAAUGUUUGACCUUGAACACUUGAUAUACAAUCAGUGGUGUUCACAAUAUAAUGCAAUAAAGACUCUAGACUUGUGAAUUUCUAAGAUGUAUCAAAUCAGUGCAGAAAUUCAAGGUGCUUUGUAGAAUCAAAUUUGACAGAGUUUUGGCGCUUUUAACUUGUGUUGAUCUCUAUCUACAAUCUUCAAGUCUUCACUCCUUUAUAUAGAGGUGUGAAAGAGACGUUGAGAUGAUUAGCACGUCUAAAGAGUCGUUGAGUUCCUUUGAUCAUCUACCAGUAAUCCUUUGCCUGAUUUGGGUGUAGUCCUUUGAAGAAUCAACUUCAAAUUCAUUCCCAUCUUGAAGGAACAUUUCUGCAGGCAGAGCUGUUGUCUUGUCUUGUAGCGUGACAAAAACAGAGUAGUGGAGGUAGUGGUUGUACACUUGUACUUUGUCAACUCUGAUAACGAAGGACAAGUACUCAGUGCUCUUCAAAUGACCGUUAAUACCUCCCUUUCAAUUCUUCGUUCUUCUUAGACGAGGUUGAAACAAGAAACAACUACUUUGAAUCUUCAGUUUAAAUUUACUGAACAAUUGUAGCUUCUAGUGAUGAUAUCGCUUCUGAUGAAAUCUUGCUUCUGAUGGUCUUCUGCUUCUGAUGGACUUCUGCUUCUGAUGACGUCAUUACUUCAGAAGCACUUUCAGAAGCACUUUAGCUUCAGACGCAGUUUUCUUCAGAUGCUUAAGAUUCCUUUGCUCUCCAUUGUUCUUCCAAGACCUAUUGAAAUUGAUUGACUUGCCUAUGGUCAUGUACACUUGAACAAUUAUUAGCAAUAACCAAUUGACAAUUUUUAAUACAUUGUUAUCAUCAAAACUCAUUAAGGUUUAUUGUGAAACACAUUUUGUUCCAACAAACACGACUUAUUUUCAUGUUUUUGCAUAUCCAGUGUAGGAACUUUAGGUUUUAAUUUGUUCCUCUUUCGAUAUCCAAUACCUUUAAGUUUGUUCGUACUAACACUAUAAAUCAUAUAUGCCAUUUUGGUUCUUUCUAUACCCCAUUAAAGAGAAACUCUUGGAAAGAAUAUUCAUAUUUUUCAGAGUUACACUUGCUAGGUACAACAGAUUGAGGCAGUGUUUAAAGAAUAAUUCUUGAGUGGACAUAAGAAUUUGAACCCUCUAUUUGGUUACAAAAAAAAAAUAAAAAUUGGACAUGCUAUAAUCAUUUAAAAAUUAAUGAUUAUUUAAUUGUUAUUUUUUCUACUUUUUUCUUUUUAUGUGUGUGCGACCAAAUAGAAGGUCCAAAUCUUUGUGUCCACCCAAGAGUUUCUCGUGUUUAAAACCUCGUUUUCAUUUUUAAAAUUCUCAAUCUCCUAGUUCAAGGCAACUUUCUUCUCAAGUUGGUUUUUAAAAUGUUUGCUAAGGAUGUUAUGUUAUUUGGUUUUACCUUGAACAUUCUUUAGCAAAUCUUUAACGGUAGAAACAAGUUCAUCUCUAGUGAGUUUAGAAGAUACCUCAUCAUCAAUGUCACUAUCAAAAUGUGAAUCAGGUCUAGAAGAUGUUUCCAUGAGUGAGAGAUUAGCUUCUUCAUCAUUUUCUGACUCUUCUUCAAGAUCCUCCUAUGUUGUCAUGAGACUUUUCUUGACCUUGUUUUUGAAGUUGUCCUUAUUUGAUUUUCAUUCUGGAGGUCAGGACAAAUAUGAUUUUAAGUAACCAUGUCUCUUGCAAUGAAAUCAGUUCUUCUUUCUUCUUCUUAAAGCUUGAACCUCUGUAAGGGAAAAUGCCUUUUCUCUGAACUCUGUCCCUCUCCUUCCAUAGAUGUUUAACUCUCCUUGUAAGGAAAGCCAUCUCAUCAUCGUCAUCCGCAAAUUCCUAUAGAGCUUCUUCUUCAACCUGAAGAGCUUUCACCAUUUUACCUUUAGAUUUAAUCGCUGUUGAUUUGAAUUUUGGUUUAGGGUCAUCAUGGUUUAAGCGCUUUCACCAUUUUUAUGACACAGUUAGAGUAUACGUCAAAGACCUAGCUCUGAUGCAAACAGAAGAUGAGAAAAACACAAUAGGGGGUGUUUAAUUAUGUUGGUCACUUUUUGAAUCUCUUUUUGUAAAAGUGGAUAAUAGAAAAUAGACAACAAAUAGGAGAGGAAAGUAAAAAAACAAGGGAGAGAGAGAGGGAGAGAGGGAGAGAGAGAGAGAUGACACGAUAAAUUUAUCUUGGUUCAAUCCAUAAUUCGGAGUUACUCCAUUCCCCUUGCACUUCAAAGCGAUUUCACUAUAAUCAACUAAUUAGAACAAAAAAAAUUAAGACAACCUAGUCUUAUAUUUCCCUGCAUCAACCUAGAAGAAUUCCUAAUCUCAGUCUAGAGAUUACAACAACAAGUUGUUUACAAAUUUACAAGCAACCCAAAGCAUUGAAUGUUGAACCAAAGUGGGUUUUACAUCAAUGUCUUUAAGAUUUUGAUGAUAACAAUUUAUGAAAGAACAAUUGGGUACUCUAAUGUGUGUUCAAUUGUGCAAGACCAUACAAUUAAAUUUUGAAGACUUAGAAGAUGGUCUGAAGAAAGGUCAAUAAAAAGUAAAAGCUUUGAUUAGAAGUAGCCUCAAGCCGUGAAGACUAUGAAGAAAACAAGCUCCGAUAUAAACAUAAUCUAAUGAAAGCAAGUUUGCAUGGACAUGUCAGUAGUCUAGUAGACUCUAAUCAAUUUUGUCGUCUUCUGAAGCAACGUCACAUUCAAUUUCUAAUCGCAUUGUUCGUCUUCUUCUGACCACGUGCAGAAAUAAACAAAGAAUUUCAAAGUCAAAGAGAAUUCAACUGAUCAUUCCAAAAGAAGUAAAAGAUCCCUCUAGUAAUAUUCAACAGAAUUAUCCUUAAAGGCAAAGUAUUCAAACACUGAUCAAAGCUUCGCAAGGAAAAAUUUAUGUGUUGGCACCUCUUCAAACAAUUACUCUUUUAUUCUCUCCUAUUUAAGGACCUGAGCAGUUAGAAGAACAAAAAUGAACAUCAUGUAAUUUUACAAGUUCCAAAACCCUGUAAAAUUAUGUAGCGCACAAACACUUAAAUAAAUACUUACAAACUUUCAUAUCUUAUAAUUUCUUAAGUAUCAGAAGUCAUGUAAGCUUAUAGUUUGUUUACCAUCCUCUUAGUACAAAUUUCAAACAAUCAAACUUUAUUUGUAAACUCUGAUUGUAGAAGUCCUCUUAUGUGAGGCAAGGAAAUUUUAGACUUGUGUGUCUAAGUAAUUGUAAUGAUGUGUGAUUUUAGUGAAAAAUCUCUUGAAAGUUCAAGGGGACUAAACUAACAUCGAAUAAUGGGGGAAUCUAGAUAAUUGCUUAUGUUGUCUCUCUCUGAUUAUCUUGCUUGCUCUGUUUUAUUUAAACUCUUGGAACUUUUUUUCCAGGAAAAGCCAACAUAUUCAACCUCUCCUUCUUUUGUUUUUUUCACCUUCAGUUAGUACCUGAGCUCCUGGUAUGUUGGUUCAACACUUAACCGUGUAACAAAUAUAAGAUCCUGAGUAAAACAUGUAUGUCGAUUCAACACUUAACCGUGUAACAAAUAUAAGAUCAUGAGUAAAACGUGCCUAAGCCCACUGCCACUUCCCGUUCCAAUCAUGUUGUGUCUCAUAAAUAAUUAAUAAAAAAAAUUAAUAACAUCAUAUCCUAAAAAUUGGGUCGUUACAAAAAGCAUCAUUGAUGGAAAUGAAUGGUUGAUAUGCUGACUGCAUUUAUUCAAGAAUAUCUCAACAUUUAAUAAAACAUUAAGAGAAAAGGAUUCCUCAAGCAACAAUCGUCAUGUUUCAACUCUAUAUAAGACCAAGUUUAAUUGAAGAAGGUUAAUUUCUUGCAUAACAUCUGAACAUACUCACGUAUAUACAAAAUCUAACAUGUUCAUAUACUAUUGUAAUUAUAUACAUACUUGUUCAUAGUAUAUAACUUGUCUAAAAACCGAUCAAGAAAACCAUAAUAGAUCACUCAAAGUGUAUUGAGCUUAAUUUGUGUUUACUACUCUUAAAGUUUAUGUGAACACUACCUUUUGUAAUCAAAAAGUGUUGUUGUAAAUUUCUGGAUUGAGAUUAGGAAGCCCUCUAGGUUGAAGUAAGGAAAUCUAGGACUAGAUUGUCUUAGUACUGUUGUAAUCAGGAUUUGAUUAUAGUGAAAAAUUUCUCGGAUGUAUGAAGGGACUGAACUAACUCUGGGUUGUGGAUGAACAAGAAUAAUCUGCUUUUGUGUCUUCUCUUUUCCCUUAUCUGUUUACUUUGCGCUUUUAUCUCAUCAAUCAAAAAGACAUUAAAAAAACCUAAACAAUUCAAACCCCCCAUUUCUUGUGUUUUCUCACUUUCAAUUGCCAUCAAAGCAAGGUCUCAAUGGAAACACUUAACCGUGUUAGAGAAAAAUAUAUCUUCAUAUGUGUCCUCAUCCACCUCGAUUUAUAAUGGCUUGGAAGAAGUUUGGGAAUGGGAGUUGAUGUUCCGGGUAUGAACAAGAGCACAACAACAGUUAAUUGCUGCUAGCAUCGGCGGCGAAGCUAGCCAAAUUUUUUUGAGGGGACCAAAUAUAUAGAAAAAAUAAAAAAUACAUUUAUGAAUAUUAUCUUAAUAAUUUUCGUUCUUGACAAAGUUCUAUGUGUAUUACUAUAGGGACUGAAAGUGCCAAAACAAGAAAAACAAAUGUACAAAUCAAUUGUUUAUGUGUUGUCUUUCAUGUUUGUAAAAAAAAAAAUGUUUCUACUAAAAUUUUUCACAAAUAAAUUUAUUUUGGGUAUCUAAAUCUAUAUUAUGAGAGUGUUGAUUGGCUUGUUAAUUACUGUUUGUCCUUGGAAUCUUAUAGUUGUUAUGUGGUGGAGUUUCCUCCUAAUGAUUACCGUAGCUUACUUUUUGAUGAUUUUCUAGGGCUGGCAUGUCUAGGAGUGUUCGACUAACUUCUUUGUUUUGUUUUUUCUCCCCGGACUUAGACCCUCUUUUGUACCAAAAAAAAAAAAAACACAAAAGUACACUAACUUAUCAAAAACAUUAAACAAAUAAAAAAAAUGGUAGCCAAGGCCACCCCAAGGCCCAAGCUAACACUAUGCUUCGCCCCGGCUAGCAUAACAAUACUUAACUGUUGUUGGCACAACGAUAGUUAUUUGCUGUUGGUAGCGAACGUCAGUUAACUACCUUUGGGAUUAUUUUGGUCUUUUAAUGGGCAAGAGAGCAAUUUUGUGUGUGACAAUAGCAAUUUUCUAAAUUGAAUUAACAUUUAUUUGUUCCUCAAAUUAUCCUUUCAUGGAAAAAAGAGGCCAAACAAAAGUCAAAAUAUAGAAAAACGAAUGGACAUCAGCCUUUUUCUAUUUUUGUUGAGCAAAGCGGCAAUGACGCGGGAAGCAAUGGUAAGUCAUGCAUGAGUUAACAAAGAAACAUUCCUUUCAAUACGUAACUCAUGCAUGCCAACAUGCAUGCUUUGUUUUCUACUACCUAUAUAUAAAUAUUCUUCUUCAAAUGUCAUUAUUUUAUAUGAUCUUCCUUUCAAUAACUUAAGAACAUGUCAUAAGUUCGACCAAACAGUCUCAUAAGUGUUUAUGUCAGUAGAGUAGUUCAUAUAAUUAAAUCUAAACAUCCCCUUAGGUUUCUUUCUUUUAAUAUACAUUUGUUUUUACGUCGAAAUUUUCAGAAUGAUGGAGGCUUUUGUGUAUGUGUUUUUGGCACUUAUCUUGUGUGGUUGUGCAAAUAGCAAAGAAUGCAUAAAUAAUUUGCCUCAAUCGCAUACGUUGCGAACUGAAUUAAUGGCAUCAAAGAAUGAGACAUGGAAGAAAGAAGUGAUGAUGUAUCAGUCUCAUGUUCAUGUGACACCAUCCGAUGAAUCGGCUUGGCAAGAAAUGAUUCCAAAGGAGAUGUUCUUAACACAAGAAAACCAACGUGAUUGGGCUGCUAAGUAUAGGGAAAUGAAGAAUGCCGAUGUGUCUAAGCCACCUGUUGGAUUUCUCAAAGAAGUUCCACUUGGGGAUGUGAGGUUGCUUGAAGGUUCUAUCCAUGCUCAAGCACAGAAGACUAAUUUGGAGUAUUUGUUGAUGUUAGAUGUUGAUAGGUUGAUUUGGAGUUUCAGGAAGAUGGCUGGUUUACCGACUCCUGGUGCACCUUAUGGUGGAUGGGAGAAACCAGAUCAGGAACUCAGAGGACAUUUUGUUGGUUAGUUUUAGUUCAUUCGUUGCCUAUUUUAUGCUCUUUGUUAGUAUUUGUAUCAUGGUGUUUAGUAAUUGUGUAAUGAAUUCUAGGUUGCAAUGUGAGCGCAACAUUGCUAUUCAUGACCAUUUGAAUCAUUGUUGUCAAAAUCUCGACUUAAUUUCUAAAAUUCAAGAUUUUGCGACUUUAUUCACCUUCAACGACUCAAAUCCAUAGCAGAAUCCUAAAAUGGGUGAAAUCCUAGUAAAAUCGCACGAAAACGUGAAAUACAUACAAAAUCGCAGGAUUUUAAUGGGCUUUUAAGAAUUGUGUCCAUUUUUUUUAGUCAUUUAUGUAUAAGUAUUUAUGACUAUAUACAAUUUAUAACAUAUAUUUAACAUUAUUUUUGCUUUGGUAAAACUCAUCGAUUUUGAUUGCGAUUUUACGAUUUCUUAUAUCGAUUCUACAAAAGUAAUCGAGUAAAAUCCUUCGAUUGUGAUUUCGAUUUUUCGAUUUUGCUCUUCCCUUUCGACCUGAAGCAAAAUCUCGAUUUUGACAACCUUGAUUUGAACUACUUUUAGAAGAUCUGCAACCUCUGUUGUUAGGAAGACAAAAGUGUCAAACACAAAUGAUAUAAAAACAUGUUGAUUGUCAGAACGCGUUUUUAUCAUGUUUGACCACUUUCUUUGAAGCAGCAUUGAGGGAUGCUUGUUCCGCAGUAAAAGUCCAGGUAUCAAUCCCACAAGAGUGGAAAUCCCAGUCAAGUCCACAUAUGCACGUUUCCCUCCUACCCAUCCGUACAUAAGAGCAUAUAUUGUCCUAGAUGUCGAUCUUUGAUUCAAUUUUUCAAAAGAUUCAAAAGCGAAUAUCUUUCCUGCAAUGUUUCUCCACUUUUCUGAAUGGUAAUUUUUAGUCAGAUCUUUUAGAAGAUAAAAAACUUGGUUUGGAUAAAAAUUGCAGCUAUAUAUAAUAAUUUUCCCUUCUCGAUGUGUUGCUACCUACCCCCUCCCCCAAACAAAUGUUCACAAUCUUUUGGAAAGCUAAACUUUUAGACUUUUCAAAUGCAAGGGUAAUAAUGAAGAUUUCCUUGGAAUCCAUGUAUUAUAAGUUUUUGUAAUGAAUUGAACUUGUAGUAGUGUAGACAGACACUAUUACACACAAAAUGCAUGUUCUGUUCUGCAAUUCAGUUUUGAAGGUUAAUUUAAAAAUUUUAUAAUAUUAUUUCUUUACAAUGUGAAGGGCAUUACUUAAGUGCAACAGCUCAAAUGUGGGCCAGCACAAACAACAAUAUCGUGAAGGAUAAAAUGUCGGCUCUUGUUUCCGGUCUGUCCGCCUGUCAGGAAAAAAUUGGAACGGGAUAUCUGUCUGCAUUUCCAACCGAGUUUUUUGAUCGAAUUGAAAAUCUUGAAUAUGCAUGGGCUCCAUAUUACACCAUUCACAAGGUAUAAGUAAAACUAGAUUUUGAUUAUGCAAGUACUUUUGGCCUUAAUGUUGUCCGAUCUCAGUUAUUCGACUUUGACAGAUCUUGGCUGGCCUUUUGGAUCAAUAUACAAUAGCUGGAAACCCUCAAGGUCUGAAAAUGGUUACAUGGAUGGUCGAUUACUUUUACAACAGAGUGAUGAAUGUAAUACAAAAGUUCACUGUAAAUAGACACUAUCAAUCCCUGAAUGAGGAAGCUGGAGGAAUGAAUGAUCUCCUUUACAGAUUAUAUAGCUUAACGGUAGGUUAACUAGUUCAUGUAGUUUCUUCAGCUCUAUUGUUGAUUCAUGUGUUCAUAUGAUAUUCUUGACUUGUUGAUUAUGUUGCUUUCAAGUAUAGAAAUUAACUGAUAUGGAUUUUAAUGCAUAGUUUAUUGAUUUUAUAAGCAUGUCAUUCAAAGCUACCACGUUAUAGCGCCUGGUUAUCGCUGUAAACUUCAAUUCUAAAAUAAACCUGUAAUGAUAUGCUAUGUGCAGAGGGAUCCAAAGCAUCUGGAGUUGGCGCACCUUUUUGACAAGCCGUGCUUUUUAGGGGUGCUUGCAGUACAGGUAACUCAUCAAUAUUUGUUACGCAUAAUUCUUGUAAUGCAUAUCGUCUCGUAUAGUUAUGGCUGUAUUUCAAGAGGUUCCAGCUGUUUUUCAAAGUAAUUUUCAAUUCGCACUUAUAAGCUAUACCUAAUGUUAGCUUUCAGAUGAGCAAUAUGUAAUGUGCAUAACAUAAACUAUAUACCAGAAAGGUUACAUUUACACGUAAAAAUUAAUUAUAGCCUUAUUUCAACUUCAACUGUUAUGACACGGAUCAUGUGAAGAGGAAAAUUAAGACAACCAAUGUAUCCUCGUUUUAAAUGCGUAUAUAAAUUAAGUUUCCUCUUAUCAGUUCAGAAAUUGUAUUUAUUAUUAUGACUGGUUCCAAACAUUAUUUUUAAAAUUCUAUUUUUUUUCCUGUAGGGUAAUGACAUAGCUGAUUUUCACGCUAAUACACAUAUCCCAAUUGUUGUUGGAGCCCAAUUGCGGUAUGAACUCACAGGUGAUUUACAUUAUAAGGUGAGUUCCUUAUGCACAUUGUAGAAUAUAUUUCACUAACUUCGAAGAAAAUUAUUUUCAUUCGCUAUUUAUUUCUGUAGUAUCAUUUAUUUAAUUUUUUAAUUGCAAAAUUUAGUGGUAUAACUAAAUAUUUGUUAUUGUGUGUUAGGAUAUUGGGCAAUACUUUAUGGACAUUGUAAACUCUUCUCACGCCUAUGCAACAGGAGGAACAUCAGUCGGCGAGUUCUGGUACUAAGAUGUCAGCAUUUUAACUUUCAUUUUUUUUUUCUUCAUAUGCAUUGAAAAUUAUCCAUCGAAUUUGUUUUCGUAUAAGGACAUUAAGUAGAAAGUUUCUGUACCUCUAUUUUAAGAUAAUCAGUUCGAAACAUCUUUCUGAAAAAAUUCUUGACUUCCAUUUUUGUGUAGGAGAAAUCCAAAGAGAAUAGCUGACAACCUAAAAUCAGCAGAGACCGAAGAAUCUUGCUCAACUUACAAUAUGUUGAAGGUACAAGCAAUCACUCAUUAUUCUUUUAAUUCAUCAUGUAAUGCUACGGAAGUUAAAAAUGCGUAUUGUGUUUUUGAUUUACUAUUUGAUAUUCAGGAAUGAUUCUUAGUUUAUUUCUGUUGAAGUAUUUAUGUUGAAAGAUAAUGAUUUCAGGUUUCGCGGCACCUGUUCAGAUGGACCAAAGAAGUCACUUACGCAGAUUAUUAUGAGCGUGCCUUAACGAAUGGUGUACUCAGCAUUCAAAGAGGAACAGAUCCUGGAGUGAUGAUUUAUAUGCUUCCUCUCGGCCUUGGUGUUUCCAAAGCACAAACGUAUUGGAAAUGGGGAACGCCAUUUGAUUCUUUCUGGUGCUGCUAUGGAACAGGUUUGUAUUUGUUUUAGUUUUUCUAAAAUUGACAAAUAAUAUUAAACAAACAAGUAUUUGAAAUAUGAGACUUAACAUGAGACGGAGGGAGUAAUAGUCUUCGCAAACUCCUCUAUUCUUUUAUCUGUGUGCUGUUCUAAAUUUUUUUUUUUUUGUGAUUAGGAAUUGAAUCAUUCUCAAAGCUGGGAGAUUCUAUCUAUUUUGAAGAAGAAGGGAAACAUCGUAGUCUAUACAUCAUUCAGUACAUAUCAAGCUCAUUUAAUUGGAAUUCUGGAACUGUCAAUAAAAAAAAUCAUAAUCGGAAAUCUGGUCAACUUUUGCUCACUCAGACAGUUGUUCCAGCUUCUUCGUCGGACCCUUUCCUACGAGCGACAUUUACCUUCUCUCCUACUGCGGUACCUAUUACAUUUUCUUAUUGCAUCUAAUUUAGCCACAUAUUAAUCUUAGGUUCCUAGUUCAUACCAAAGUUGGGUUUCUGAACUAUACAUUCCUUCUACGACCUAUCAUUUCAAAACUUGAAAUGUGCAGGCAAUUGGGACUUCGUCAACAUUGAACUUUCGUAUACCAUCAUGGACUCUUGCAAAUGGUGCCAAGGCACUAUUGAAUUCUGAAACUUUACCUCUGCCAGCUCCAGGUCUGAAUCUAUCUUUAUUUCCCUUAUCUCAUGCGGAUAGAUGCUAGAAUGUUUAAUCACCUAAAAAAGAAGACGAAAAAGAACAAGCUCUUACGCCAUUCCUUUAAGUUAGAACAGGAAUGGUUAACACUUGAAACAUUAAAGUAAUAUUUACUGUCAUGAUCUCUAGGGAAUUAUUUGUCAAUCACACGACCAUGGAGUGCGAGUGACAAGCUGACCCUUCAAUUGCCUCUUACCAUCAGAACAGAAGCCGUAAAAGGUAGCUUCUUGCUUCACAUGAUAAUCAAUGAAAGAAUAUGCUGAUUAUCAAUACCCUUCCUUUACUGACAUGUGUUUUCAAAUUAUAAUGCAGAUGACAGACCUGAAUUUGCAUCACUUCAAGCCAUUCUUUACGGACCAUAUCUUCUCGCCGGUCACACCACCAGCAUUUGGGACAUUAAAGGCGUUACUAACAAAGCUGUUGCAGACUGGAUUACUCCAAUUCCAUCCAAUUACAGUAGUCAACUAGUUUCUUAUUCACAAGACAUCAACAAAUCAACUCUUGUUAUAACCAACUCAAAACAAUCACUUACGAUGGAAAUAUUACCCGGACCUGGCACUGAAAAUGCUCCUCAUGCUACCUUUAGACUUAUCCCAAAAGACGCUGACGGUAAAACUGUGAUGUUAGAACCAUUUGAUCUUCCUGGAAUGACUGUAAGUCACCAAGGACCAGAGAAACCUCUUAUCAUUGUAGAUUCUUCCCAUGGCGGGCCUUCUUCGGUUUUUCUUGUGGUACCGGGCUUGGAUGGACG
This 30944-nucleotide long non-coding RNA is filed under the name Medicago truncatula (barrel medic). RNAcentral describes it as "long non-coding RNA (MTRU_LNC001946)". The record is from RNAcentral. Lineage: Eukaryota; Viridiplantae; Streptophyta; Magnoliopsida; Fabales; Fabaceae.